Molecule: ribosomal RNA, 450 nt
Filed under: uncultured Comamonadaceae bacterium
Lineage: Bacteria; Pseudomonadati; Pseudomonadota; Betaproteobacteria; Burkholderiales; Comamonadaceae
Description: bacterial SSU rRNA
Rfam family: Bacterial small subunit ribosomal RNA
Source: RNAcentral
AAGCGGUGGAGUAUGUGGUUUAAUUCGACGCAACGCGAAAACUUACCACCUUUGACAUGUACGGAAGUUGCCAGAGAUGGCUUCGUGCUCGAAAGAGAGCCGUAACACAGGUGCUGCAUGGCUGUCGUCAGCUCGUGUCGUGAGAUGUUGGGUUAAGUCCCGCAACGAGCGCAACCCUUGUCAUUAGUUGCUACGAAAGGGCACUCUAAUGAGACUGCCGGUGACAAAACCGGAGGAAAGGUGGGGAUGACGUCAAGUCCUCAUGGCCCUUAUAGGUGGGGCUACACACGUCAUACAAUGGCUGGUACAAAGGGUUGCCAACCCGCGAGGGGGAGCCAAUCCCAUAAAGCCAGUCGUAGUCCGGAUCGCAGUCUGCAACUCGACUGCGUGAAGUCGGAAUCGCUAGUAAUCGUGGAUCAGCAUGUCACGGUGAAUACGUUCCCGGGUCUU